This 336-nucleotide ribosomal RNA is filed under the name uncultured bacterium. RNAcentral describes it as "bacterial SSU rRNA". It matches the Rfam family "Bacterial small subunit ribosomal RNA", at positions 72 to 422 of the family's 1533-position model. The record is from RNAcentral.
AAGUGGAGCAAUCCAUGAGUAAAGUGGCGACCGGGUGAGUAACACGUGACUAACCUACCUUCGAGUGGGGAAUAACCUCGGGAAACCGGGGCUAAUACCGCAUAACGUCUUCGGACCAAAGGAGUAAUUCGCUUGAAGAGGGGGUCGCGGCCGAUUAGCUAGUUGGUGGGGUAACGGCCCACCAAGGCAAUGAUCGGUAGCCGGCCUGAGAGGGCGCACGGCCACACUGGAACUGAAACACGGUCCAGACUCCUACGGGAGGCAGCAGUGGGGAAUUUUGCGCAAUGGGGGAAACCCUGACGCAGCAACGCCGCGUGGAGGAUGAAGCCCCUUGGG